GACGAACGCUGGCGGCGUGCUUAACACAUGCAAGUCGAACGGAAAGGCCCCUUUGGGGGUACUCGAGUGGCGAACGGGUGAGUAACACGUGAGUAACCUGCCCUUGACUUCGGGAUAACUUCAGGAAACUGGGGCUAAUACCGGAUAGGAAUCCUUGCUGCAUGGUGGGGGUUGGAAAGCUUCGGCGGUUUUGGAUGGACUCGCGGCUUAUCAGCUUGUUGGUGGGGUAGUGGCUUACCAAGGCUUUGACGGGUAGCCGGCCUGAGAGGGCGACCGGCCACAUUGGGACUGAGAUACGGCCCAGACUCCUACGGGAGGCAGCAGUGGGGAAUAUUGCACAAUGGGCGGAGGCCUGAUGCAGCAACGCAGCGUGCGGGAUGACGGCAUUCGGGUUGUAAACCGCUUUCAGCAGGGGCGAAGCUUGUGGUGACGGUACCUGCAGAAGAAGCACCGGCUAACUACGUG
Molecule: ribosomal RNA, 465 nt
Filed under: uncultured bacterium
Lineage: Bacteria
Description: partial 16S ribosomal RNA
Rfam family: Bacterial small subunit ribosomal RNA
Source: RNAcentral